This 492-nucleotide ribosomal RNA is filed under the name uncultured bacterium. Its description in RNAcentral is "partial 16S ribosomal RNA". It matches the Rfam family "Bacterial small subunit ribosomal RNA", at positions 29 to 507 of the family's 1533-position model. The record is from RNAcentral.
AGUGAACGCUGGCGGUAGGCCUAACACAUGCAAGUCGAACGGCAGCACAGUAAGAGCUUGCUCUUACGGGUGGCGAGUGGCGGACGGGUGAGGAAUACAUCGGAAUCUACUUUUUCGUGGGGGAUAACGUAGGGAAACUUACGCUAAUACCGCAUACGACCUACGGGUGAAAGCAGGGGAUCUUCGGACCUUGCGCGAUUGAAUGAGCCGAUGUCGGAUUAGCUAGUUGGCGGGGUAAAGGCCCACCAAGGCGACGAUCCGUAGCUGGUCUGAGAGGAUGAUCAGCCACACUGGAACUGAGACACGGUCCAGACUCCUAAGGGAGGCAGCAGUGGGGAAUAUUGGACAAUGGGCGCAAGCCUGAUCCAGCCAUACCGCGUGGGUGAAGAAGGCCUUCGGGUUGUAAAGCCCUUUUGUUGGGAAAGAAAAGCAGCAGGUUAAUACCCCGCUGUUCUGACGGUACCCAAAGAAUAAGCGCCGGCUAACUUCGUG